RNAcentral lists this ribosomal RNA (773 nucleotides) under Chryseobacterium sp. Its description in RNAcentral is "bacterial SSU rRNA". It matches the Rfam family "Bacterial small subunit ribosomal RNA", at positions 609 to 1386 of the family's 1533-position model. The record is from RNAcentral. Lineage: Bacteria; Pseudomonadati; Bacteroidota; Flavobacteriia; Flavobacteriales; Weeksellaceae.
UUAACUGUAAAACUGCCAUUGAUACUGCAGGUCUUGGAGUGUUNUUGAAGUAGCUGGAANUAAGUAGUGUAGCUNUAAAAUGCAUAGAUAGUAGUNAGAACCACCAACUGCGAAGGCAGGUUACUAAGCAACAACUGACGCUGAUGAACGAAAGNGUGGGGAGNNNNNNGGAUUAGAUACCNUGGUAGUCCACGCCGUAAACGAUGCUACCUCGUUUUUGGAUUGUCGGAUUCAGAGCAUAAGCGAAAGUGAUAAGUUAGCCCCNUGGGGAGUACAGACGCAAGUCUGAAACUCAAAGGAAUUCACGGGGGCCCGCACAAGCGGUGGAUUAUGUGGUUUAAUUCGAUGAUACGCGAGGAACCUUCCCAAGGCUUAAAUGGGAAAUGACAGGUUUAGAAAUAGACUUUUNUUCGGACAUUUUUCAAGGUGCUGCAUGGUUGUCGUCAGCUCGUGCCGUGAGGUGUUAGGUUAAGUCGUGCAACGAGCGCAACCCCUGUCACUAGUUGCCAUCAUUCAGUUGGGGACUCUAGUGAGACUGCCUACGCAAGUAGAGAGGAAGGUGGGGAUGACGUCAAAUCAUCACGGCCCUUACGCCUUGGGCCACACACGUAAUACAAUGGCCAGUACAGAGGGCAGCUACCAGGUGACUGGAUGCGAAUCUCGAAAGCUGGUCUCAGUUCGGAUUGGAGUCUGCAACUCGACUCUAUGAAGCUGGAAUCGCUAGUAAUCGCGCAUCAGCCAUGGCGCGGUGAAUACGUUCCCGGGCCUUGUAC